UACGUAGGUGGCAAGCGUUGUCCGGAUUUACUGGGCGUAAAGGGCGUGCAGGCGGUUUGUUAAGUGCAGGGUGAAAGCUCCCGGCUCAACUGGGAGAGGUCCUUACAUACUGGCAAACUCGAGGGAGGCAGAGGAAAGUGGAAUUCCCGGUGUAGUGGUGAUAUGCGUAGAUAUCGGGAGGAACACCUGUGGCGAAGGCGGCUUUCUGGGCCUUACCUGACGCUGAGACGCGAAAGCGUGGGGAGCGAACCGG
This 253-nucleotide ribosomal RNA is filed under the name uncultured bacterium. Its description in RNAcentral is "partial 16S ribosomal RNA". It matches the Rfam family "Bacterial small subunit ribosomal RNA", at positions 524 to 776 of the family's 1533-position model. The record is from RNAcentral.